RNAcentral lists this ribosomal RNA (441 nucleotides) under uncultured bacterium. RNAcentral describes it as "bacterial SSU rRNA". It matches the Rfam family "Bacterial small subunit ribosomal RNA", at positions 338 to 795 of the family's 1533-position model. The record is from RNAcentral.
CCUANGGGAGGCUGCAGUCGAGAAUCUUCGGCAAUGCGCGAAAGCGUGACCGAGCGACGCCGCGUGAUGGAAGAAGGCCUUCGGGUUGUAAACAUCUUUUAUACGGGAAGAAUUUUGACGGUACCGUAUGAAUAAGGGGUUCCUAACUCUGUGCCAGCAGGAGCGGUAAUACAGAGACCCCAACCGUUACCCGGAUUUAUUGGGCGUAAAGCGUCCGCAGCCGGCGUGGAAAGUGGUUUGUUAAAUCCAGAAGCUCAACUUCUGGGCUGCAGUCCAAACUUCCAUGCUAGAGAGAUGAAGAGGCAUAUGGAACUCAUGGUGGAGCAGUGAAAUGCGUUGAUAUCAUGGGGAACACCAAUGGCGAAGGCAGUAUGCUGGUCAUUUUCUGACGGUCAUGGACGAAAGCGUGGGUAGCGAACGGGAUUAGAUACCCGGNUANUC